This 175-nucleotide ribosomal RNA is filed under the name uncultured bacterium. Its description in RNAcentral is "partial 16S ribosomal RNA". It matches the Rfam family "Bacterial small subunit ribosomal RNA", at positions 335 to 524 of the family's 1533-position model. The record is from RNAcentral.
ACUCCUACGGGAGGCAGCAGUGGGGAAUAUUGCACAAUGGGCGAAAGCCUGAUGCAGCAACGCCGCGUGAGCGAUGAAGGCCUUUGGGUCGUAAGGCUCUGUCCUUGGGGAAGAAACAAAUGACGGUACCCUUGGAGGAAGCCCCGGCUAACUACGUGCCAGCAGCCGCGGUAAU